GAGUUUGAUCGUGGCUCAGAAUGAACGCUGGCGGCAUGCCUAACGCAUGCAAGUCGAACGAAGGCUUCGGCCUUAGUGGCGCACGGGUGCGUAACGCGUGGGAAUCUGCCCUUGGGUUCGGAAUAACAGUUAGAAAUGACUGCUAAUACCGGAUGAUGUCGUAAGACCAAAGAUUUAUCGCCCAAGGAUGAGCCCGCGUAGGAUUAGCUAGUUGGUGGGGUAAAGGCCCACAAGGCGACGAUCCUUAGCUGGUCUGAGAGGAUGAUCAGCCACACUGGGACUGAGACACGGCCCAGACUCCUACGGGAGGCAGCAGUGGGGAAUAUUGGACAAUGGGCGAAAGCCUGAUCCAGCAAUGCCGCGUGAGUGAUGAAGGCCUUAGGGUUGUAAAGCUCUUUUACCCGGGAUGAUAAUGACAGUACCGGGAGAAUAAGCUCCGGCUAACUUCGUGCCAGCCGCCGCAGUAAU
Molecule: ribosomal RNA, 468 nt
Filed under: uncultured microorganism
Description: bacterial SSU rRNA
Rfam family: Bacterial small subunit ribosomal RNA
Source: RNAcentral